Molecule: small nuclear RNA, 105 nt
Filed under: Salvator merianae (Argentine black and white tegu)
Lineage: Eukaryota; Metazoa; Chordata; Lepidosauria; Squamata; Teiidae
Source: RNAcentral
AAUCCUGUUUAGUGCUCAUAUAGUAAAAUUGGAACGAUAUAUAGAAGAUUGGCAUGGCCUCUGCGCAAAGAUGACAUGCAAAUUUGUGAGGCAUUCCAUUUUUAA